UAGGGAAUCUUCCGCAAUGGGCGAAAGCCUGACGGAGCAACGCCGCGUGAGUGAUGAAGGUCUUCGGAUCGUAAAACUCUGUUAUUAGGGAAGAACAAAUGUGUAAGUAACUAUGCACGUCUUGACGGUACCUAAUCAGAAAGCCACGGCUAACUACGUGCCAGCAGCCGCGGUAAUACGUAGGUGGCAAGCGUUAUCCGGAAUUAUUGGGCGUAAAGCGCGCGUAGGCGGUUUUUUAAGUCUGAUGUGAAAGCCCACGGCUCAACCGUGGAGGGUCAUUGGAAACUGGAAAACUUGAGUGCAGAAGAGGAAAGUGGAAUUCCAGGUGUAGCGGUGAAAUGCGCAGGGAUAUGGAGGAACACCAGUGGCGAAGGCGACUUUCUGGUCUGUAACUGACGCUGAUGUGCGAAAGCGUGGGGAUCAAACAGG
This 429-nucleotide ribosomal RNA is filed under the name Actinomycetes bacterium. RNAcentral's name for it is "Actinobacteria bacterium partial 16S ribosomal RNA". It matches the Rfam family "Bacterial small subunit ribosomal RNA", at positions 355 to 776 of the family's 1533-position model. Lineage: Bacteria; Bacillati; Actinomycetota; Actinomycetes. The record is from RNAcentral.